Long non-coding RNA from Columba livia (rock pigeon), 2486 nucleotides. RefSeq lists it as uncharacterized. The transcript is spliced from 2 exons. Lineage: Eukaryota; Metazoa; Chordata; Aves; Columbiformes; Columbidae. The record is from RefSeq and is a predicted model, not a curated record.
GGGUGCAUGUGAGUGUAUCUCUCGUGGGUUUCACCCGGGGUUCAGACACCCCAGCUCCUUCCCCCUUCCUGUGCUGUCGGUCCCGUGAGCCUCAGCAGGUUCCCGCGGGGACGGGGGGGACGGUGGGAACCCCAUGCUUAACAGGGCCUUUAUUCCCCUCGCCCAGAGCCAGGGUGUCUGUGCGCUGGGAAAGGAAAAGGCUCAGCAACAUCAAACGGCUCCCACAGCACUGAGAGUCACAUGAAACACCAUGAGUGUUUUGGGAGAUAAAGAGGCUUUGUGGGGCUGGGGGGGAUGCGCGGCGGUGAGGCCUGGGAGCCGGGGUGGGGGCAGCCGGGGUGCUGCAGACCCCCGGUUACCUGCAGAGCUGCCCUGGUCAGGGACAGUCUCACCUCCCUCUGGGUCCAGCUGAUGUGACCACCACCAGCAUCCCAUGGGAGCUCGGGAUGGACGUGGCAUGAGCACAGCACCAUCACCCCAUGGGCUCUGCCACCCAACCCACCCUGCCCAAAGGGAGUCUCACCCAUUGAGGACUCAGCACCACCCAAAGGAAGAGGAAGAGGUGCUUUCAGGGUGGACAAAAAUCCUCUCCAAAGCUCCUGACUGGUGGAGGUGGGAUGUAGGGGAGAAAUGCUGAGAGCAGAUGUUUCCCCCCUGAUAUUGCAAGGAUUUGGAGCAGUGGAAUAAGGCUAAUAAGUGAAAAAUAAGUUCUUUUAACUUCCCAUCUGCCUGACAGGCCCCUAGGCAGCCUCUCCUGCUCUGGACUGCUCCAGCCCCCAAGGCUUCAACACCUCCAUCAAGAAGAAAUCUGUGAGAUGGGACCGAGAGCUGCACCCAGGGCACUGCGGCUGCAGGAAAGCCUGAGAUUAAAGAAACAAAACCUUCCUGUCACACAGGAAAGGCAGAAACCGACUUAAGACAUGUUGGGCAGGAAAGAAAAAAGAGUUUGUCCAAACAAUGGACUGAGCUCUGCUCUGCCCUGAGCCAAGUGUUUACUUGUUGGUGCUGCUUGUUAGUGCUCAAAGCAAAGCAAGAUAUUUGUGACUGAGAGCUAGGAGGAAAGUUUCAUCUGUUCAGGGACCUUCUCCUCCCAUUUACUGAGAGGAGGAGCAUCUGAAAACGGGCUCUUUUCACCACUUGAAUGAGCAAAAUCAAACUCCAGGUUCAGGCCAGGUUUAGCUGGUGGGGCAGGAGCAGGUUCGCUCCUCUCUGGGUUUACUCAUCCCCAGCACAGUGAUUCCCACAGGGCUGGUCAGGGUGGACAUGCUGGAACAGCUACAGACCUGCUGCUUGGGCUCUGGCUCCGCUGGCGGGAACCUCCCCUGGAUUUGGGGGUUUCCUCCCCCAAGCGCCGUCCGUGGUGGGAGCCGGGUGGGUGCCGGGUUCCCAGAGGGAGCUGGGAGCAUUGGGUGCAGGGGUCAGUCUCGCUGGGGUUGGUUUUGCACGUGUUUAGCUCAGGUUCAGCCCAGCAGCCCCAGUCCUGGAUUAUCAGUAUCUGAUGCAGACCAGAGGGAUUUGCUGCUUGCAAUGAAAACAGCCCCGUUUCCCUGCAGAGCUGCAUCCCCUCAGCUGCCCCUCACCCCAAAGACGCUGCCAGCAGGGACAGCUCGGGGUGCCAGAGAGGGGACGUGGGGACAUGGGGAUGGAUGGGCUGAUCCCUUCAGGGACAGGGGGACAGACAGGGUUUGGAGGUGGAGGGGACUUAGCGAUGGAUUUCAGAGUCAUCUUCCCCUCCUCUUCCCCCACUUUGUUCCAGAAAUAAAUUAAAAGCUAUCUCUCCAGGAAAUUAAAACUCAUUUAAGAAGACUGAGCGCAGGACAUGAUGCGCUGGGGUUUCAGAGGUGGGUGUCCCGGUGCACCUCGAAGCUCAGAGAGGAGAAGGGUGCUGGGGUGACCCCCCAGAGCUGCUCCAGAAACCACUGCCACCAAAGCAGGUCCCUUGGACCCUGGGUGCAGCCUGGCUGUGGGACCCCCUCUUGCACCCAAGAUGAGGAAUCUGUCCUGAAAGAGUUAAGGGUGAAACAUUGCAGAAAUUUAAAAAAAAAUAAGAAAAAUUACAGAAGAAAAAAAAUGCCAUGAACCACAUGCGACCCAACCUCCCCAGCGGCUCAUCUGAGUUUAAUAACGGAGAAGGGAAAUCUCCCAAAAAGCUCUCAGAGAAAUUAAAGUAAACAGCGUGCUGACCUCCAAGCCCAGGCUGCCCCGCCGCUGACUCGGCCCGGCUGCGCGGCCACCGGCUCCUCGGCCAGCGCUGUAAUUGUAAACAUGUUCAGCUGGUUUAUGUCUCUGCUGCCUGGAGAAGCAUCGCUGGAGUUGGCCAUAAAUUUGGCUUCUGGAUGCUACAAGAGAAAAUAAUAACCCCCAAGGACUGAACAUCUGUCCACGCGGAGCACGUGCAAUGUUAUAAUUAAUAUUAAUGACUAGUAAAUACAGAAUGAGACUCGUGCUCUACAGGUCACCUAAUAAACCCAGCCUUCCCACCAUCA